This 445-nucleotide ribosomal RNA is filed under the name uncultured bacterium. RNAcentral's name for it is "partial 16S ribosomal RNA". It matches the Rfam family "Bacterial small subunit ribosomal RNA", at positions 354 to 796 of the family's 1533-position model. The record is from RNAcentral.
GUGAGGAAUAUUGGUCAAUGGGCGGGAGCCUGAACCAGCCAAGUCGCGUGAAGGAAGAAGGAUCUAUGGUUCGUAAACUUCUUUUGCAGGGGAAUAAAGUGCAGGACGUGUCCUGUUUUGUAUGUACCCUGAGAAUAAGGAUCGGCUAACUCCGUGCCAGCAGCCGCGGUAAUACGGAGGAUCCGAGCGUUAUCCGGAUUUAUUGGGUUUAAAGGGUGCGUAGGUGGUUUGAUAAGUCAUCGGUGAAAGUUUGCAGCUUAACUGUAAAAAUGCCGUGGAAACUGUCGGACUUGAGUGUAAAUGAGGUAGGCGGAAUGCGUGGUGUAGCGGUGAAAUGCAUAGAUAUCACGCAGAACUCCGAUUGCGAAGGCAGCUUACUAAGCUACAACUGACACUGAAGCACGAAAGCGUGGGGAUCAAACAGGAUUAGAAACCCGAGUAGUCC